Molecule: non-coding RNA, 1505 nt
Organism: Gossypium raimondii (Peruvian cotton)
Lineage: Eukaryota; Viridiplantae; Streptophyta; Magnoliopsida; Malvales; Malvaceae
Source: Rfam
AAUGGAAUAAUGUAGGUAAGGGAAGUUGACAAAAUAGAUCUGUAACCUUGAGAAAAAGAUUGGCUCUGAGGGCUAGGCAUGGGGGUCCCAAUCCCGAACCUGUCGACUGCUGGUGCCCUACUCGAGCUGCUCCUGCGAUAGAGCGGGUUGUCGUGUGUCGCCUAGGGGACAGACUGAGAACGGCUCCCUCGGGGGCCUUCUUUGGGUGACUAACAUUCGACUUAGAAUUGAUACAGACAAGGGGAAUUUGACUAUUUAAUUAAAACAAAACAUUGCGAUGGUACCUACGGAUGCUCACGCAAUGUGAUUUUUGCCUAGCGCUUUGAAUGUCAAAGUGAAAAAAUUCAACCAAGCGCGGGUAAACGACGAGAGUAACUAUGACUCUCUUAAGGUAGCUAAAUACCUUGUCAUCUAACUAGUGACGCAUCUGAAUGGGUUAAAAGGAUUUUCAUUGUCCCUGUCUACUAUCUAGUGAAAGCACAACCAAGGGAACGAGCUUGGCAGAAUUAGCGGGGAAAGAAAACCCUGUUUAGCUUGAAUCUAGUCUGACUUUGUGAAAUAACUUGAGAGCUGCAGGAUAAGUGAGAGCUCUCGGGAGAAAUUAAAAUACCACUACUUUUAACAUUAUUUUACUUAUUUCGUGAAUCGGAGGUGGGGCACAACCCCUCUUUUUAGACCCAAGGUCGGCCUCGGCUGACCGACCCAAGCGAAAGACAUUUUCAGGUAAGGAGUUUGGUUGGGGCGACACAUUUGUUAAAAGAUAACACAGGUGUCCUAAAAUGAGCUCAACGAUAACAGAAAUCUCUUGUAGAACAAAAAGGUAAAAGCUCGUUUGAUUUUGAUUUCUAGUACGAAUACGAACCAUAAAGCGUAGCCUAUCGAUCCUUUAUACUUUCAAAAUUUGAAGCUAGAAGCGUCAGAAAAGUUGCUACAGGGAUAACUGGCUUGUGGCAGCCAAGCGUUCAUAAAGAUGUUGCUUUUUUAUCCUUCAAUGUCAACUCUUCCUAUCAUUGUGAACUAGAACUCACCAAGUGUUGGAUUGUUCACACACUAAUAGGAAACGUGAGCUGGGUUUAGACCAUCGUAAGAUAGGUUAGUUUUACCCUAUUGAUGGUCGCGUCGUAAUAGUAAUUCAACCUAGUAUGAGAAGAACCGUUGAUUUGCAUAAUUGGUCAUCGUGCUUGGUUGAAAACCAGUGGCACAAAGCUACCGUGCACUGGAUUAUGACUGAAUGCCUCUAAGUAAGAACCUAGGCUAGAAGCAAUGCACGCACUCAUCGCCUGAUUGCUGACCCGUAGUAGGGGCCAUUGGCCCCCAAGGGCACGUGUCAUAGGUGCAUCGACUGUGGCCGACAAGUCGCGAGCGCCUCCUUAGAGUGUAAUUCCAACUGAGCAGUGGGUAGAAUCUUUUAAAGAUUACUUAAAUACGUGACAGGGUAUUGUAAGUGGGAGAGUAGCCUUGUUGCCACGAUCCACUAAGAUUCAGCCCUUUUAUUGCACCAAUUC